CGGAUCUCUUGGUUCCGGCAUCGAUGAAGAACGCAGCGAAAUGCGAUACGUAAUGUGAAUUGCAAAUUCAGUGAAUCAUCGAGUCUUUGAACGCACAUUGCGCCCCCUGGUAUUCCGGGGGGCAUGCCUGUCCGAGCGUCAUU
This 143-nucleotide ribosomal RNA is filed under the name Penicillium sp. CM-7. RNAcentral's name for it is "5.8S ribosomal RNA". It matches the Rfam family "5.8S ribosomal RNA". From Rfam's summary of the family: 5.8S ribosomal RNA (5.8S rRNA) is a component of the large subunit of the eukaryotic ribosome. It is transcribed by RNA polymerase I as part of the 45S precursor that also contains 18S and 28S rRNA. Functionally, it is thought that 5.8S rRNA may be involved in ribosome translocation. The record is from RNAcentral. Lineage: Eukaryota; Fungi; Ascomycota; Eurotiomycetes; Eurotiales; Aspergillaceae.